RNAcentral lists this long non-coding RNA (1060 nucleotides) under Androctonus crassicauda. Lineage: Eukaryota; Metazoa; Arthropoda; Arachnida; Scorpiones; Buthidae. The record is from RNAcentral.
AUUUAAUAGAAUCGGGGAAUUAAAAACUAAUCGUUAUUGAGUAAAGAAAAUCUGAUACGUUUUGUGUUUAAUCUGAUAAAUGUUUUGCAAUUUUUGAUCAAUCUUCUUGCAUUUAUAAAUUAAAUGGGAAGAUACUGCGAACCAAGCAAAUCCCAUCGGAUAAACAUAUCUUUCUAAGAAAUUACGUAGAAUAAGAGCGAGAUCCCCUUAGGACAAGCAUAUUUAUCAAUAGUGAAGGGGAUGGUGGUGGCUAUUGAUUCGCUGGUAAUUUUUCACGCGAUUUAUGAGGUGCCGGUGACAAGCCUUCUCCAAAGACAUUAUAAAUGUUAUUUGGUCGUGUCUUGACUUCUAACUACCAGUUCCGAGAUCGGAAUACAUCGGGAACUUUCAAAUCUGAUUAUGGAGAUUUCCGUUUUAUGUCGGCUUAUUGCCGAUUAAUGAACUCGUUUCAUUUUGCUAGUUUAAAGUUGCGUGAUGCGUUAUGUCCCUUACAUUUAUUGCUUAGUUUGUUGACCGACAAUUCAUCCGAUUUAUAACCGUGUCAAUGCAACCAUUUUCAGUUCGGAGAGUAUAUUCGAUUUUUUUUUACUUUUUUAUUUUUUGGAGGUCUAGAAUGUACUAAUAGAACCAUUCUGUCUAGACGAUGUCAGUGCAUCGGUGCAAAAGGCUUCUGGUCUUUUCAGCUAAUUGGCAUGUCGCCAACUAAUGCUUUACUGAAGUCUGGAACAACUUAAGUCUUUACACGUAAAAUUUCUUUGUGUGAUAUCGGAAGAUGCAUUAUUGUCAACAAGCUUUUGUUUUUGCUUCCGAUGUGUAGAUGAUAGAUUUUAAUCGAACUCGGUAUUACUUGCAUCAUAAAAAAAAUCUCUUUUAAUACCAAAUUUUUUUAUUACGAAUGAAUUUCAAUUAUUUUGUAAUUUUUAAAUUAGCGUUUUUAUACGUCCAACCGUAUUAGUUUUAUCAUUGAAAUUUUGUAUCAUCUACUGUUGUCGAUAAGUUUUGAAUUAAAUUUACGAAGUUUUUAUAUAUAACGUGUUUUUGUUCAGAUAGGCAUCUUUCC